RNAcentral lists this ribosomal RNA (430 nucleotides) under uncultured bacterium. RNAcentral's name for it is "bacterial SSU rRNA". It matches the Rfam family "Bacterial small subunit ribosomal RNA", at positions 355 to 776 of the family's 1533-position model. The record is from RNAcentral.
UCGAGAAUCUUUCGCAAUGGGGGAAACCCUGACGAAGCGACGCCGCGUGCAGGAUGAAGGUCUUCGGAUUGUAAACUGCUGUCGGCUGGGAAGAAAUAGCGGACGACUAACAGUCGUACGCCUUGACGGUACCAGCAAAGGAAGCCACGGCUAACUCUGUGCCAGCAGCCGCGGUAAUACAGAGGUGGCAAGCGUUGUUCGGAUUUAUUGGGCGUAAAGGGUCCGUAGGCGGCCUGACAAGUCGGAUGUGAAAGCCCACAGCUCAACUGUGGAAUGGCAUUCGAAACUGUCGGGAUCGAGUGUGAAAGGGGUGAAGGGAAUUCCCGGUGUAAGGGUGAAAUCUGCAGAGAUCGGGAAGAACACCAGUCGCGAAGGCGCUUCACUGGUUCACAACUGACGCUGAGGGACGAAAGCUAGGGGAGCAAACGGG